AGUGAACGCUGGCGGUAGGCCUAACACAUGCAAGUCGAACGGCAGCACAGGAGAGCCUGCUCUCUGGGUGGCGAGUGGCGGACGGGUGAGGAAUACAUCGGAAUCUACUCUGUCGUGGGGGAUAACGUAGGGAAACUGACGCUAAUACCGCAUACGACCUACGGGUGAAAGCAGGGGACCUUCGGGCCUUGCGCGAUUGAAUGAGCCGAUGUCGGAUUAGCUAGUUGGCGGGGUAAAGGCCCACCAAGGCGACGAUCCGUAGCUGGUCUGAGAGGAUGAUCAGCCACACUGGAACUGAGACACGGUCCAGACUCCUACGGGAGGCAGCAGUGGGGAAUAUUGGACAAUGGGCGCAAGCCUGAUCCAGCCAUACCGCGUAGGUGAAGAAGGCCUUCGGGUUGUAAAGCCCUUUUGUUGGGAAAGAAAUCCAGCUGGCUAAUACCCGGUUGGGAUGACGGUACCCAAAGAAUAAGCACCGGCUAACUUCGUGCCAGCCGCCGCGGUAA
Molecule: ribosomal RNA, 506 nt
Filed under: uncultured bacterium
Lineage: Bacteria
Description: partial 16S ribosomal RNA
Rfam family: Bacterial small subunit ribosomal RNA
Source: RNAcentral